CCGGAAGUAGCAAACUAACACGUUCGAGUACUCCAUGAACUGCUUUCUUGCACAGCCAGGUGAGAGCAGGGCAGAUAGCACCCACAUGUCUUACAGCGCAAAUAUGCUGGUACUAGUUAAACUGCCUAGUUAAAUAAAAAAUAAAUAUAUAUUUGUAAUACUUCGCAAAAAAAUAGGCCCGUCCAAUCCAGUGACCUACCUAGCAUGCAUUGGUACUGAAUCUGUUCGAAUGACGGAGUGCGGGGCUGACUUCCUGCACCUCGACGUUAUGGACCGUCAUUCUGUACCCAACAUCAUGUUCGGUCAUCCCAUGGUGGAGUGCCUGAGGAACUGUGGGGCCAGACCCUUUUUGAUAUGCACGUGAUGGUAUCGGGGCCAGAGCAGUGGGUGAAACCCAUGGCAGGAGCCAAUCAGUACACAUUCCACCCGGAGGCCACCACCAAUGCUGGAAACCUCAUCAAGGAGAUCAGAGAGAGCGGCAUGAAAGUGAGGCCGUGUUGACUAUAGAGGGAGACGAGAGGUCCAGAUAUGGAAGAGAAAUGAAUCGUCAGAGAAAAUGGACGUAAAGCGUAAUUCACACACAAGUGGGCCAUAAAACCUGGGACUACAGUAGAGGAGUUGGCAACGUGGGCUGGACAGAUCAACAUGGCUCUGGUCAUGACUGUAGAGCCUGGCUUUGGAGGCCAGAAGUUCAUGGAGGACAUGAUGCCCAAGGUGAGCUGGCUGAGGAGUCAGUUUCCCUCUCUGGACAUUGUGGACGGACGAGUGGGUCCUUCUGCCAUCCAUAAGUGUGCGGAGGCGGAUGCUGACAUGAUCAUGCCGGACUGUGGUAAGCAGUGACGACCCUCGCUCGGUCAUCCCAGACAGACAGACAGACAGAACGGCUGAACAAGAUGUCAUAUUUUGAAGACAUUGUUUUUUUUUUGGGGGGGGGGCUAGUAUUUUGUCACUGCCCUGUUUUAAAAUGCUUGUUACUAUCUCCCUUGUCACAUGAUACAGAGGAUUCCUUGCCUCUUCUUGCUCUGCUCGGUUGGUUUGAAAAGUAGUUCACUACUCAGACACUAGAGGGCAAGCUUGCUCAAACUAUUCAUCCCUAUAGGUUUGUAUACCCUGGACUGUCAUUAUUUUAGUUUUUAUAUCCUCGUUUUCUGUACUGUCUUGUUUAGACUAAUUACUUAUUGAUAAUAAGUCAUGAAUAUUAUUGAUAAUAUUGAAUUAUAUAUGACUGACUACCAUAUGUGGCAUAGGAGAGUAUUAGUGAUCUAGCAGUUAUAUCUGAAUUUAAUAUGGGAUAUAAUGUUAGUACCUGCACAGGGAUUUAUUUAAUCAAAACUAAUAGUAACAUUACUGGAUAGAUAAAAAAACAACAGCAACCUCUCCUUGCACUAAUAGGAACCAUGUUUCCAUUUAAUACCAUUUAACUCUUUGACAAGAUUUACUCCAGUAAAUAAAUGUUUAUUGAAUAUUG
Molecule: long non-coding RNA, 1468 nt
Organism: Oncorhynchus nerka (sockeye salmon)
Lineage: Eukaryota; Metazoa; Chordata; Actinopteri; Salmoniformes; Salmonidae
Exons: 6
Source: RefSeq, a predicted model, not a curated record